Molecule: transfer RNA, 77 nt
Filed under: Alterirhizorhabdus solaris
Lineage: Bacteria; Pseudomonadati; Pseudomonadota; Alphaproteobacteria; Sphingomonadales; Rhizorhabdaceae
Description: Sphingomonas sp. R4DWN tRNA-Arg
Rfam family: tRNA
About the family: Transfer RNA (tRNA) molecules are approximately 80 nucleotides in length. Their secondary structure includes four short double-helical elements and three loops (D, anti-codon, and T loops).
Source: RNAcentral
GGCCUCUUAGCUCAGCAGGACAGAGCGCCACAUUCCUAAUGUGGGCGUCGGGGGUUCGAGUCCCUCAGAGGCCACCA